This 253-nucleotide ribosomal RNA is filed under the name uncultured bacterium. RNAcentral's name for it is "partial 16S ribosomal RNA". It matches the Rfam family "Bacterial small subunit ribosomal RNA", at positions 524 to 776 of the family's 1533-position model. The record is from RNAcentral.
CACGAACCGUACAAACGUUAUUCGGAAUUAUUGGGCUUAAAGGGUGCGUAGGCGGCGCUGUAAGUCGGGUGUGAAAUCCCACGGCUCAACCGUGGAAUUGCGCCCGAUACUGCAGUGCUCGAGGGAGACAGGGGUGAGUGGAACUGAUGGUGGAGCGGUGAAAUGCGUUGAUAUCAUCAGGAACACCGGUGGCGAAAGCGGCUCACUGGGUCUCUUCUGACGCUGAGGCACGAAAGCUAGGGUAGCGAACGGG